CUUUACUGUAGCUUUGUAUUGGACUUUGAACAGAUCUGUGUAGGAUAGGUGGGAGGCUUUGAAGCAGGGUCGCUAGAUCUUGUGGAGCCAACGUUGAAAUACCACCCUGGUGUGUUUGAGGUUCUAACCUAGGCCCGUGAUCCGGGUCGGGGACAGUGCAUGGUAGGCAGUUUGACUGGGGCGGUCUCCUCCCAAAGCGUAACGGAGGAGUUCGAAGGUACGCUAGGUACGGUCGGACAUCGUGCUAAUAGUGCAAUGGCAUAAGCGUGCUUAACUGCGAGACUGACAAGUCGAGCAGAUGCGAAAGCAGGACAUAGUGAUCCGGUGGUUCUGUAUGGAAGGGCCAUCGCUCAACGGAUAAAAGGUA
This 367-nucleotide ribosomal RNA is filed under the name uncultured organism. RNAcentral describes it as "bacterial LSU rRNA". It matches the Rfam family "Bacterial large subunit ribosomal RNA", at positions 2099 to 2465 of the family's 2925-position model. The record is from RNAcentral.